Oncorhynchus keta (chum salmon) is the source of this 393-nucleotide long non-coding RNA. RefSeq lists it as uncharacterized. The transcript is spliced from 2 exons. NCBI's taxonomy places the organism in Eukaryota, Metazoa, Chordata, Actinopteri, Salmoniformes, Salmonidae. The record is from RefSeq and is a predicted model, not a curated record.
AGUCUACCAGACCAGGUGAGACUCCGCCCCGGUGACACCCUCCGUCUCCAGUGCCUCGCCCACGGCUCUCACCCAAUCACAUUCCGUUGGACACGGGUGGGCCGGGCCGGCAUGCCCGCAGGGGCGGAGACCAUUAAGGAUGGCCAGCUGCUGAUUGGCCAGGUGAAGUUGAAUGACAGCGGGACCUACAAAUGCGUGGCGACCAAUCACGUUGGUUCCAGCGAGGCUCUGGCGAAGGUCACAGUGAAAGCCUAAGCCAUCUCAUCUCCCCUGCGGCUCUCGUCAUACGUCUAAUGUUGAUGUCACGAACCCCACAACCCCCCCAAGAUAUGCAUAUAUAGUGGGGAAAAAAAUGUUUAUGAAAUAAAUGUUGAUAAAAUCAAUAAUGGUAAA